CCACUUGAUGUUUUAUGCAAGAACCAACCAAGCAAGCAAACUAGUACAAGCCACAAUUAUUUUAUGAUAUCAGAAUCGUCUUGAACCCUCAAGGAUCACUAUAAAUAGAGGAAAAAGCCUCAGCUAUCCAUACACCAAGCUUACCAAGCAAAACUUCAUUUUUGCAAGCUUUUGACCUUAACCUCCAUUUCUCCCAUUUGGCUCGAGCAUUCAGAAAACCAAAGAGUCCAACCAUAU
RNAcentral lists this long non-coding RNA (237 nucleotides) under Lathyrus oleraceus (garden pea). RNAcentral's name for it is "Pisum sativum (pea) long non-coding RNA (PSAT_LNC000770)". The record is from RNAcentral. Lineage: Eukaryota; Viridiplantae; Streptophyta; Magnoliopsida; Fabales; Fabaceae.